Long non-coding RNA from Anas platyrhynchos (mallard), 8501 nucleotides. RefSeq lists it as uncharacterized. The record is from RefSeq and is a predicted model, not a curated record. Lineage: Eukaryota; Metazoa; Chordata; Aves; Anseriformes; Anatidae.
UCUUCUUCUUCUUCUUCUUCUUCUUCUUCUUCUUCUUCUUUUUCUUUUACAGAAAUGAAAAAACAUGUAAUUGGGACCUUGUGGGGCCUGAAUGGGACUGUGGCACAUUCCAUCCAUCCGGUGGCUCAUUCAUUUAGAUUUCAUCAUAACAAGUUGAUUUUUUUGUCAAUUACCAGCAUUUGAAUUAUGAAAAAAAUAGUGAUGAUUUAAUUGUACUUUUUUUUUUUUUCUUUUUACAAAAUAAUUUUGUUGUAAUGACAACAGGCCUAUUUGUUUGACUUUACAUAAACGACUUUGGAACACAGAAUUAUCCCAUGGGUUGUAGUAGUUCAGUGGUUCAUCUUCAUGAGUCCUAAACUUAACGAUUGUCUCUUAAAAGACAAAAACAUACUUAUCCCAUGCAAACAUUUUAUCCUACACCUCAGAUAAAGAUCAAGUAGAUUCAAAUACCGUGCUUAAAGUAAGCAGAUGUUUGACCUUAUGUCCUGAGGUGAGUAAAUUCCAUGCAUUUUUGUAUAUAUAGCUUAGUCCCUGGCUUUUUCACACAGGAGAAUUAGAGGUCUAACUGAUGCUCAGUAAUGCAUGUGAUCUCAGCUGAGCUUGAGAAAUGCAGGCUUGAACUGAAACUGACCAGGAAGGAAUAUUGCUUUGCUCAGUCUUGUUUUAAAGUAAUUAUCUUGAUCAGAGUUGGGCACUGGGACAGGCUCCCCAGGGCAGUGGUUACAACACUGAGCCUGUUGGAGUUCAAGAAGUGUUUGAACAAUGCUCACAGACACAUGGCUUGUUUUUUGGGUGGUCCUGUGCAGAUCUGGGGUUGGACUUGAUUAUCCUUGUGGGUCCCUUUCAACUCAUGAUAUUAUGUGAGUAUAUGAUUAUAAAAAAUAUUGAAAGAGAUAGAAAAGGUAUCUGGCACUAAAACACUUUGGAAAUGCACAUUAUGUAUUGGGAAUAAAUGGAAAUAGGCAACAUCAUUUCACAAGUUUGGUACGCUUAAAAUUGAUACAAAGAGAAAUACAUUAAUCAUUCCCCAAACCUACUUCAAAUUAUGUGUGUGAAGCACAAGGAAAUAUUGUUAAAAACACUUUCAUAGUUUUCAGGAAAUAAAAACCGCUGUCUGCAGUAAAGGAUCCUUAACAUAAUUUUGUCAUUUUGUCAUGUUCAUUAUAUCCUUUAUUUCUGAAAAAAAAUGUUUGUAUUUUUUUCUUAAAACAAAACAAAACACAUUCUUUAUUGUGCUCUUUGGAAGUUACUCAGUUAACUGUAUCUGAUAUUUCUUUUUAUCCUGUUUUUAACUUUCAAUACUAUUCAAGAACAAACAUUUUCAGUAUUACCCUAACACAUCUCACAAACUGUUGCCUCUUCAUGGAAUAGAUAGUGAACAGUGCAUCUAAGAUAAAAUGAACAUCAGAGAAAAUGUCUUACAGAAAACAAGCACAUUCUGAAUGAAGAGCCUUAUAAAGUAGCCAAGGAGCACCAGCCCAAGGACUUAAAUUGCAGUUACAGCUGAUGAACUUGGCUCACAGUGUAGUAAGCAAGCCUUCAAUUUGGAACACUAACUAAGAAUCUGAAUCAAUUAAAGUAAAUUAGGUAAUCCUUGGCUCAUUUCCCCAGGUGUGAAAACAAGACAAGCUCUUUGACUUUAUUUGAAAUGAACAGGUUAAAACAAUAUGGUCUUUGCAUCUGACCAUGACUAGGGAGCCACUGCUGAGAGGCAGGCAGCAGAAGGGCAAACAGAGACCCUCAGCAGAGGAGGCUGCCUUCGAGAAGUGAUGGAGGGAGGAGGAAAAGGACAGUACAGGGCACUCUUCCAAUGGUGGAACAAGGUCAACGCUGACUGCUGAUCACUCAAUUUAAGGAGCCAAGCGUUUGAGGAUCCGCUCCAUGAUCUUGACCAGCACAAAGGGAUAUAAUAAUGUCCACAAGUACCAGCCUGAUGAAGAAAGUACUCCACACUCUUAGCAAGUUAUCCAGGAUACUGUGAUCAAAUCUCUCUUAUAUUAAGGCAGGAAAACACAAGGAUUUGAAGGGCCAAUUCAAAGAACAGGGUGGCAAUCUACUUUGCUUAACUGUAAGACAGAAGCUGUGAAUGGAAAAAGGUCUCAAAGAUCUGCAUAUCGCAACCUUUAUGUGAUGACAGCAGCAACCACAUCCUUGCCCAAUGAAGCUUUCCAUUGGUGUUUUCAUAAGAAAGAUGAUCUCAACCUCACAAUCAGAAAUGUUUAUCUGCUGCUGAGCCAAUAACAAACUCAGAGUUUAAUGUAGUUACGUCCUUGAGGUCAUCCUAAUUCAAAAUCAUCAAAAUCUUCCCCCAAAACACCUAAGACUUUUCCUGUCUAGGUUUAGUCAUCAGCCAUUCUACGUUCCCUCUUCAGUCAAUGGAGAAAGACAGACAUCUCCUGAAAGCAAUUCAGAGAGCUCCUUCAGACAGCAAUUUGACCUGUCUUGCUGCAUGAACUAUAUAUAGAGCCAUGAUUUUUAGCUUGGGCAGUAUGAACUCAUCCUCUUUAUGUUCUGGGCUUUGUUUUAGUAGGUAAUAAGUGAUGAAUCUGUGGUGCUAUAUACUAAAAGUUCCAGUUUUCUAAAACCUCUCUUGUAAACCCACUGUUAAGAAUUGUGGUACAGAUCAAAGGAAGACAAAACAAGGCAUAUACACAUAGAGCACGUCUCCCAUAGUAUUCACAAUCAUAACUCUGAAUAUCAUCCUUCCCAACAAACAAUGUUUGACUGUGAAUGGCAUUUUAGAAUUUCUGAAGCACUUAGUAAAUGGUCAAUUCAUAAAAGAACAAUGUGACAGAUUUUGCCCAUGUACCCUACAUAAAAAAGGGACAACAGCUACUUAAAAUGUUUUGCAUUUAUCAUCUUUAGGCAAAAAAAAAAAAAGAAUUUGGAAUCACUACCCAAUCCCAUGGGAUACUUACUCUGUGUCCAGUGUGACCCUAAUUAUAAUGGUAAUAUAAUGAAGAAAUGUUCCCUCUCUUCCUGUAGCUGCACAGUGGCAAUCUGCAGAAAAUUGCCUUCAGCUGUAGAUAUAUGAAUCUACGUUUCCGAACAGUGAGCUGUGUUCUCACAACAGCACAAGUUUUUUUAAGGGAUCCUUUCAUGAACUGUGAUUAAGAAAGGAGAAUCUCUCAUGCUGUUAGAAAGCACCAGGCAGCCCAAAGUAACAACCAGAUGCCAGCUUAAUUUAAUAUAACUCAAAAAAAAAAAAAUCAAAAAACAAAGCAAAACACAAAACCAACAACCCUACCACAAAGCCCAAAAGGGCACUAGCACUGCCAGUAGUGUGGAUUAUAGAUGGUUGUGACCUUAUUCCAAAUUAAGGUACAUAGCAAGCUUGCAUACUCCAGUGCCAUAGUUGCAACUCUGACUAGCAAUAUGUGAAUAUCUUCUUUGUUAGUCAGUAUUUCCAUGUGCUCAUCACUUCUAGAAACUUCCAUUUACCACUGUUAUAUUUUCUAAUUCAAACAGUUUUUUUUUUUGCUUUUUCUUUUUUUUUUUUCUUUUUCCACAAAUUUCAAGGAAGAGUUCAGCUUUCUCUCUCUCUCCCUCACUCUCUGUCUCAUCAUGCCAAGUGAAAAAUGUUUUUUCCCAUAAUAAUUUAUUUUAAAAUUUGUUACAAUCCUAACACCAAUGAAGUAGGUGGCAAAUAAGGUGACAUUUGGCUGGGUGGGAAUUCUGAAGCGUGCUUCCAAAAUUCAUUUUGAUUUCUUCGGUUUGCGUUGCCGGAGUACUGAGAGCUUCAUGCAAUUCCAUAAGGGAAAUUAAAAAAAGAGUCAGAGCUGUGAACUUACAUUAGUUCUUACUCUUGAAGCAGUGCCUUAUAGCUACAUCCUUAUAAAAGGCUAGCUUCUCAGUAUCAAGGGAUUUCUCAGUAAUCCUUGUGUGAACAAAAGUAUAAAAAUCAAGGCAUACUCCUCUAUUAAGAGCAUUCUAUAUUUUUUUCCCUUUCUGGUUAUUGGCAUUUUGUCAAGGAAGAGAAGGUCAGUUUUCAUUCAGGUAACAAACUAAUUUCAGUCAGACUACAAAAAUUUAGCACCUAAUUGAAUAUAUACUGAGAGCACAUGAGCUGCCUCCUUUGUGGCCAGCAGGAUGGAAGAAUAUUGCAGAGUUUUUCUAGCUCAUUACCAGAAGCCUUGCUGUUGCAAUCUCAGUGGAUGGAACCUAGCAAGCAGGGAACAUCAUUACCCAGUCUAUCUUCCUGCCUCUGAAGGACAGUAAUAUUUAUUGAUUCUCAGGAAGAAAUAAAGGGAUCUUAUAAGCAGAGCAGCAGAUGAAAUCAGUAGACUAUUGACACUGAAAAAGAAAAACAUGAAAAGCAGUGUGUCAGCAAAAGGCCUGUGUAGCUCCAGCUGAAGAGUGUAAGGCACCUUUCCAAGCAGGAGAAUGUUGAAGAGGGCUUAUGAAUUUUGCCCUCCUGUUUCUGACUGGAUGGCCAGGACCAGAUUGCUUGCACGGUCUAACUUAAUAAUUAAGGCUGAUCCUUCCUUGUCAUUGUGCUUGGGGUUUUUGCACUCCAGUAUUUGGCAGCCCUUGUUGAGCCAUGAAAUGCUUACAGGCCUGUGCCAAGGGCUGGAAGGUUGGCUGAGGCCACCUGCAGCAGCUGGCUCAGUUGUGGAGCGAGGUGUACCCCGGCCAUCUGAACAGCCCUCUGGGUAUGAGGGUUUGCAACACUCACCCUGUGAGUGGUGAAAACAAAGUGACAGUGACGGGUUUGCAGCAAAGGUUCUUUGAAGAAGUGAGCCAUUUACUCAGCAGGGUCAUUUAGGGCCUGCUAGCUCCACACUGAGCCUUUGAUAUGAACUUGAUUCCUUACAGGUUCCAGUUUGGGGUUGCUGGAGGAGGUCUGUAAUGUAAUCCUUUUCUGUUUAGAAUCAUGUAAAAAGUGUACUGGAGUUGCUGAGGUUGUUUUUCAGUACUUUGAAAAAAAGGAGCUGUACAACUACAGGCUGUGUGGCUCUGUAUUUUAGUUUGUCCUCCAAGAAGGAGCAAGGUGAGGUGACCUCCUGAGGUCCCUUCCAACCUCAGCCGUCCUGUGAUUCUGUGACCAUGCUCUGGUGGGGAGCUCCAUCUCCCAGGUCAGCCCACUGCUAUCUGCAGGGCCUCAUGCUUGGUGGCAUGGCACGGGAGGUUAAACUGCAGCUUUCAUCAUCUGGGGGGAAUCUGAUCUCCGAUACAGGCGAAAUGAGUUCUGGUAAGUGCACCAAACGAGUCAAGGCACCUUGCUGAAGCUUGUGUUAUAUGAGACCACAUUUAUAAUGUUGAUCUGUAUCGAGUCAGGACGUGUGACCUCCUUUGUCUGAUGUGGGCACUGCUAUAAUCUAUACCUUCAUUAUCUCAAGUGCAGGAGCACUGUAACCCCACUCUUGCUGUCGAGUCACAACUGAACACUGCUGUGAACUGCAGGUGCCCUGAAAGGCGGCCAUGCAGUGAUGAAGUGACUUGUCACGCCGGGACCACCGUGCAUUACACCCAUUGCCUUGGGAGCACGCCGGUCACCAGUGAGAGCAGAGGGGAAAUUCAUGUCCUCUGCCUUGACCUUUGCCUCCCUGGGUGGCUCAGGGCCAGCUGACCUGCAGGGACAUUUAUUUCUCCAUGCCAUGUGCUACACGUGUGAUUACAAGUGCAGGAGCUGGGGGCCAGCUUAACCUUUAAUAGGUCCGGGAUGUGACCUGUGCAUUUUUGCAGGCACAGGGAGGAAUAUGAUGAUGAUGCAUACAUUUAAAUAGCGUGCAUGCCUAUGAUCAUCUAGUUUGACUUUCAGCAUGGCAAUGAUCCUUCCCUUCCACUGGAAUCUCUGUGUGAUGUACAUAGAAUUCAUCAGCUGCCCAAUAUUAAAGCUAGGACUUGGUUUGGGGCUGGGAUUUUGGAAUCAGGGCAUCCAAAUCUCUGGUUAUUGAUGAAGUCUGGAGUGCUGCAAUGUUAAGAAAAAGCUGCUGAGAAAUGUCAUGGGAUAUCUCAAAGAGAGACAUUUAAGGAAUACUGGAAGUACUUUGCUUUGCUUCAAGUACAGAGUUCACAGUUCUUCUUAUGAGAGAACAUCUACAGUGAAAUUAUUAAUUUAGAGAUAGUGUUGUGGACACUAACGGUUGAUCAGCAUUUUGGUGGAAUGUGAAGAGAAGCUUCUACACAUAUUUCUGUCCUCAAGCCCAGCACAGUCCUUUCUUGGAUUCUGGAAAUGGACACCAUGCCCAUGGCAAUCUAAUUCUCACAGGAAACAUUUCCAUUUUUCAAUAAGGACAAGAUUAGGCAGAAUACGAUCCCCGGUCUCUACAAGACACCAUACAAAGAAUCAAAUACGUUGUUAUUCUCCUGCCACUUGAUCCUGUUCAGCGCUUCCAUGUGUUCAUGUGCUUCCCAGAUGAAAAGCCAACACUUUUAAGCCAACAUCUGCCUCUGCUCCUCCAGUGAAAAAACUGCUCAGGCUCAUUAUUUAGCUCAUUUUCUCCUUUUAUUUUUAAGAGUAGAACAGUAUUGCAUCUUUCCCUGAUUCAUAUUCAGUGCUUCUUUUUCAAACAUUUAAUUUGCAGGUAGCACAUUUAACAUCUACCAGUUUCACUGACAAAGCACCACUCCAUUUCAAUGGGCAUUAGAUGAAACUCAUAAUCCUUUAGGAAUCUCAUCUAAUGUUAAAGAUCUGAAAUAACUACAGUUAGGUAAAUAAAUAUUCAGCAUCUUCUUAUUGCAGAUUUUCCCCCUGAGCAUUCAAUCGUCUUCCUUGAAUUUUGCCUGGGUAUAUCUUUAGUUCUGCUUCCUUCCUAAAGAAAUAAAGAAUUAUUUACAUAGGAGUUUUGCCAUAUCAGGGCCCUUAAUUAUGAUUUCUUUUACUGUGUUCAGAGAUAUCCUAUUUCAUCCUUUAUCUCUCCUUUCCUCAGCCUACCAGGGGAAAAAAAUCUCACUUCCCUUCUACUCUUCUAUUGUCUGAAGGACUAGACUUUAUUUUUGUACUUAUUUUACUUCACCAGCAAUUCCUGUUAUCUUCUCCAAAUUCUUUACAUUUUUUUUUCCAGAGUUAGGUUCUGAUAGGGAAAUGAAAACUUCCAAGAGACUACACUAGGUUAUUCUCUAUUAUUAUUAUUAUUAUUAGGCACCUUAAUUACACUGUAUUUCUUGUUAUUUCUUCCAUUCCCUUUAACUGAGGUAUUUGUAAGUCCUUAGAAGUGCAUUCUUAUUCCUUGGAUUUUCCUUAAGGAACUGGAGACUAUCCUAUUGUAGAUUUAUUGCCUUCAAGAUGUAUAUGUGUUCUCUCGUUGGCAGCCACAAUAGCCUUGUUUUACACAUUUGAAUACUGGGACAAUAUAUGCCAAUUAUGCCCAUUAGUUUGGAUAUAUGAGCUUCUUCACGUAUUCCUUUCACCUCUUGUUUACUCCUACAGAUGCAAUUUUGUACUUAGGGAUUUUAUACCCGUGUGUAUUUGUGUACACACUUUCAGCUCAAUUUGUUGAUAUUUUAAUUCCAAAGAAUCCAUGUAUACUGUAAAGUUAAAUGUGGGAAGUAUGUGCAGGACCAGCCUGCUAUCCUAUUAGCUGGUAAAGUCAAGAAGCACGAAUUUAUGCUUACAGACCACAAAAUGUACAUGCCCACUGAAACUACAUUUGGUGUGGAUUUAAAGGGAAGUUGGAGUGUAGCUGCUAUAUUUUGCAAUGUUUGCAGAACAGCAUUUGCCAAUGUAAACCUGACUUGCAAACACAUGGAGCCUUUCACUGUAAAUUGUUUCUCUUUGCUCUAAAAGGGCUCUUUAUUGAAAAUGGUCUCUCUUUACCUUGUCAUCUUGCACUAUUUAUACCGCCUGGCCAUCCUUUUCCUUUCUGUAACACAGGAAAAAAAAAAAAAAAGAUAGGCAAAUAGUAUUAUGCCCGGAAAGCUGAAAUAUUCUUCCUUGAAGCUCCUUUCAAAAUAUGCAAAGCAUAUUUAAAUUUUAUGUUAUGGAAUCUUGUACUUUACUGGACAAAUGCAGGAACUUUCUGCUUACAGUUCUAUGUAUGGAAAAGAGUCAAACUUAUUUGAGAGAGUAACCUGGCAAGAAUAAAGGCAGAAACAGUAUCAUGUGAGUGAAGAUUUUUGGCCAACCUUAUAGUCAAGCACAGGAAGCAAAAUAGAAAGCCUUAUUUACUGAAAAAGCUAGAUGCUCCUGGUCCUUUAGUUGCCUGUGUUUCUGUAUGGAUAUUGUCUUUUCUUUCAGGAUACCUUGGCAAGAAUUGAGAGAUGGCUUAGAGAAAUGUAAACUCUAAACUCUUAGAGAAAUGUAAACUCUACUCUAAAUUACCCCAAAUGUAAUACUCUAAUGUCCCAUAGAACAAUUCUAUUAUAAUACUGAGUCCCUCUAAUACUCUUCACAGGCAGCAAGGUAAUAAAGAAAAAAAAGUGACUAAUGGUUCUCUUACAAUCUGAAUUACUUAACCCCCAAUCACAGAAACAACUGUCACCUCUGUGGCCUGCAGAGAAUCCUUCAGGUAGGACUGUACAGUUCAAAAUAACAUGUAUGAAAUUCUCUGUUUAUUUUU